RNAcentral lists this ribosomal RNA (403 nucleotides) under Bacteroidota bacterium. RNAcentral's name for it is "Bacteroidetes bacterium partial 16S ribosomal RNA". It matches the Rfam family "Bacterial small subunit ribosomal RNA", at positions 355 to 776 of the family's 1533-position model. The record is from RNAcentral. Lineage: Bacteria; Pseudomonadati; Bacteroidota.
UGGGGAAUAUUGCACAAUGGGGGAAACCCUGAUGCAGCGACGUCGCGUGAGCGAAGAAGGCCUUCGGGUCGUAAAGCUCUGUCCUAUGGGAAGAAAAGGACGGUACCAUAGAAGGAAGCCCCGGCUAACUACGUGCCAGCAGCCGCGGUAAUACGUAGGGGGCGAACGUUAUCCGGAAUGAUUGGGCGUAAAGGGUACGUAGGCGGCUUUUUAAGUCAGGUGUGAAAGGCAUGGGCUCAACCCAUGUAAGCACUUGAAACUGGGAAGCUUGAGGGAAGGAGAGGAAAGUGGAAUUCCUAGUGUAGCGGUGAAAUGCGUAGAUAUUAGGAGGAAUACCGGUGGCGAAGGCGACUUUCUGGACUUUUUCUGACGCUGAGGUACGAAAGCGUGGGGAGCGAACAGG